This 68-nucleotide transfer RNA is filed under the name Marmota monax (woodchuck). RNAcentral describes it as "tRNA.Ala". The record is from RNAcentral. Lineage: Eukaryota; Metazoa; Chordata; Mammalia; Rodentia; Sciuridae.
GGUUUGUGGCUCAGUGGUAAAGUGCUUGCCUAGCAUGCGUGAGGCACUGGAUUUGAUCCCCGGCACCA